GAUGAACGCUGGCGGCAUGCCUAACACAUGCAAGUCGAUCGGUAAGGCUCUUCGGAUUACACGAGAGGCGGACGGCUGAGUAACGCGUAGGAACACACCCUGUAGUGAGGGAUAAGACACCGAUAGGUGUUCUAAUACCGCAUACGGUCUUCGGAUUAAAGCAUUUAUGCGCUGAAGGAGUGGCCUGCGUCAUAUUAGAUAGUUGGUGAGGUAAUGGCUCACCAAGUCGAUGAAGUGUAGCUGAUCUGAGAGGAUGAUCAGCCAGACUGGAAAUGAGACACGGUCCAGAAUGCUACGGGAGGGAGCAGUGAGGAAUAUAUCACAAUGAGCGAAAGCUUGAUGGAGCAAUGCCGCGUGCAGGAUGAAGGCCCUCGGGUUGUAAACUGCUUUUAUAAGAGAAGAUUAUGACGGUAACUUAUGAAUAAGGGACGGCUAACUACGUG
Molecule: ribosomal RNA, 443 nt
Filed under: uncultured bacterium
Lineage: Bacteria
Description: partial 16S ribosomal RNA
Rfam family: Bacterial small subunit ribosomal RNA
Source: RNAcentral